GAUCCUGGCUCAGGAUGAACGCUAGCUACAGGCUUAACACAUGCAAGUCGAGGGGCAGCGGGAUUGAAGCUUGCUUCAAUUGCCGGCGACCGGCGCACGGGUGAGUAACGCGUAUCCAACCUUCCGUACACCUCAGGGAUAGGCCUUUCGAAAGAAAGAUUAAUACCUGAUGGUAUCUUAAGCACACAUGUAAUUAAGAUUAAAGAUUUAUCGGUGUACGAUGGGGAUGCGUUCCAUUAGGUAGUAGGG
This 249-nucleotide ribosomal RNA is filed under the name uncultured bacterium. RNAcentral's name for it is "partial 16S ribosomal RNA". It matches the Rfam family "Bacterial small subunit ribosomal RNA", at positions 15 to 253 of the family's 1533-position model. The record is from RNAcentral.